GAUGAAGAACGUAGCGAAAUGCGAUAAGUAAUGUGAAUUGCAGAAUUCAGUGAAUCAUCGAAUCUUUGAACGCACAUUGCGCCCCCUGGUAUUCCGGGGGGCAUGCCCGUCCGAGCGUCAUUACAACCCUCAAGCUCAGCUUGGUAUUGGGCCCCGCCGCUCCGGCGGGCCCUAAAGUCAGUGGCGGUGCCGUCCGGCUCCGAGCGUAGUAAUUCUUCUCGCUCUGGAGGUCCGGUCGUGUGCUCGCCAGCAACCCCCAAUUUUUUUCAGGUUGACCUCGGAUCAGGUAGGGAUACCCGCUGAACUUAAGCAUAUCAAUAAGCGGAGGA
This 329-nucleotide unclassified non-coding RNA is filed under the name soil metagenome. Its description in RNAcentral is "partial contains 5.8S ribosomal RNA, internal transcribed spacer 2, and large subunit ribosomal RNA". The stretch from base 1 to 120 matches the Rfam family "5.8S ribosomal RNA", at positions 35 to 154 of the family's 154-position model. The record is from RNAcentral.